CGAACGCUGGCGGCGUGCCUAAUACAUGCACGUAGAACGCUGAAGAGAGGAGCUUGCUCUUCUUGGAUGAGUUGCGAACGGGUGAGUAACGCGUAGGUAACCUGCCUUGUAGCGGGGGAUAACUAUUGGAAACGAUAGCUAAUACCGCAUAACAAUGGAUGACACAUGUCAUUUAUUUGAAAGGGGCAAUUGCUCCACUACAAGAUGGACCUGCGUUGUAUUAGCUAGUAGGUGAGGUAAUGGCUCACCUAGGCGACGAUACAUAGCCGACCUGAGAGGGUGAUCGGCCACACUGGGACUGAGACACGGCCCAGACUCCUACGGGAGGCAGCAGUAGGGAAUCUUCGGCAAUGGGGGCAACCCUGACCGAGCAACGCCGCGUGAGUGAAGAAGGUUUUCGGAUCGUAAAGCUCUGUUGUAAGUCAAGAACGGGUGUGAGAGUGGAAAGUUCACACUGUGACGGUAGCUUACCAGAAAGGGACGGCUAACUACGUG
RNAcentral lists this ribosomal RNA (495 nucleotides) under uncultured bacterium. RNAcentral describes it as "partial 16S ribosomal RNA". It matches the Rfam family "Bacterial small subunit ribosomal RNA", at positions 30 to 507 of the family's 1533-position model. The record is from RNAcentral.